AGGUAUAUGUGUAUGUACAGGUAUGUGUGUGCAUGCAGGUAUGAGCAGGCAUGCAUGUAUAUGUGUGUAUGCAGGUGUGUGUGUGCAGGUGUGAGCAGGCAUGUAGGUAUAUGUGUGUAUGCAGCUGUUUGUGUGCAAGUAUGUGUGCAUCCAGGUGUAUGUGCGUAUGCGUACAGGUGUGUAUGCAAAUGUAUGUGUGUGCUAGUGUAUGUUCAUGUGUGUGUGUGCAGAUAUAUGUGUAUGUGUGCAUGGAGGUGUGUUUUUGUGUAUUUGGGUGUGCGUGCUGUUAUGUGUGUUUGUGUAGGUAUAAGUGUAUAUACAGGUAUCUGUGCAGGUGUGUGUGUGUGUGUGUACAGGUAUGAGUAUGCAUACAGGUAUAUAUGUGUAUAGGCAGGUACGAAGAUAUGUGUGUAUGUGCACAGCACACCAUGUGACAAGAGGCAGGAAGUUUAUGCAUGUUCUGAUUUCCUCUAGUUAUUAAGACACCAAUAUCCUACCACCUGUUAUAUUAGUGUAUGUGUGUACAGGUGUGUGUAUUUGUGCUGGUCUUUAUAUAGGUGUGUUCAGGUAUGUGUGUAUGUGUGUGU
RNAcentral lists this long non-coding RNA (587 nucleotides) under Rattus norvegicus (Norway rat). RNAcentral describes it as "long non-coding RNA NONRATT002741". The record is from RNAcentral. Lineage: Eukaryota; Metazoa; Chordata; Mammalia; Rodentia; Muridae.